RNAcentral lists this long non-coding RNA (535 nucleotides) under Sus scrofa (pig). RNAcentral describes it as "lncRNA (ENSSSCG00005000628.1)". The record is from RNAcentral. Lineage: Eukaryota; Metazoa; Chordata; Mammalia; Artiodactyla; Suidae.
CUUGUGACAAGGGCAGGGAACCGGUAACUGUCAGAUGGCCUGACUGGGAAAGAGAGCCCGUGAGUGAGCCUCCUUCUGUUCCCCCAGGACUGCCCUACCCAGCUCCCAGAAGCUGGAGCCUUCUCCCAACAGGCAGAGUCUCCUUGCACCUGAGGACAUCCAGACCCUUCAUCUGGAGCCUGGAAAGCCACAGCCACAGCAGGAUGAGGAAGAACAGCAGAAACUGCCCCCGCAGCCCCCCUACUAUGAUCUGGGGGCCUCCCCUUCCUACCACCCCUGGGGCUCUGGUCCAAAGGACACUGACAUCCACUACGUAGAGCUGGACACGUCAGCCCUGGAACUCGCACCAGGGCCACGGACCACCAUGCUGGGGUCUGAAGAGGUUGUGGAAUAUGCCACCAUCCAGCUGAGUGGCCCCCUAGCGCACGACCCCUAGCCACCCACCCCUUCCUCUGGACCUCAGGUAUGCUCUGCCCCCCACCCUUCCCAGCCUUCAAAGGCCCAGCUGCCCAGAGGGCUGGAGGGAUCCAGAGCU